Molecule: ribosomal RNA, 465 nt
Filed under: Vreelandella stevensii
Lineage: Bacteria; Pseudomonadati; Pseudomonadota; Gammaproteobacteria; Oceanospirillales; Halomonadaceae
Description: partial 16S ribosomal RNA
Rfam family: Bacterial small subunit ribosomal RNA
Source: RNAcentral
CCUACGGGGGGCAGCAGUGGGGAAUAUUGGACAAUGGGGGCAACCCUGAUCCAGCCAUGCCGCGUGUGUGAAGAAGGCCCUCGGGUUGUAAAGCACUUUCAGUGAGGAAGAACGCCUGGUGGUUAAUACCCAUCAGGAAAGACAUCACUCACAGAAGAAGCACCGGCUAACUCCGUGCCAGCAGCCGCGGUAAUACGGAGGGUGCGAGCGUUAAUCGGAAUUACUGGGCGUAAAGCGCGCGUAGGUGGCUUGAUAAGCCGGUUGUGAAAGCCCCGGGCUCAACCUGGGAACGGCAUCUGGAACUGUCAAGCUAGAGUGCAGGAGAGGAAGGUAGAAUUCCAGGUGUAGCGGUGAAAUGCGUAGAGAUCGGGAGGAAUACCAGUGGCGAAGGCGGCCUUCUGGACUGACACUGACACUGAGGUGCGAAAGCGUGGGUAGCAAACAGGAUUAGAUACCCGGGUAGUC